This 253-nucleotide ribosomal RNA is filed under the name uncultured bacterium. Its description in RNAcentral is "partial 16S ribosomal RNA". It matches the Rfam family "Bacterial small subunit ribosomal RNA", at positions 524 to 776 of the family's 1533-position model. The record is from RNAcentral.
UACGUAGGGGGCUAGCGUUGUCCGGAAUCAUUGGGCGUAAAGAGCGUGUAGGCGGCCCGGUAAGUCCGCUGUGAAAGUCGGGGGCUCAACCCUCGAAUGCCGGUGGAUACUGUCGGGCUAGAGUGCGGAAGAGGCGAGUGGAAUUCCUGGUGUAGCGGUGAAAUGCGCAGAUAUCAGGAGGAAUACCGAUGGCGAAGGCAGGUCUCUGGGCUGACACUGACGCUCAUGCACGAAAGCGUGGGGAGCAAACAGG